CAUAUCAAUAAGCGGAGGAAAAGAAACCAACAGGGAUUGCCUCAGUAACGGCGAGUGAAGCGGCAAGAGCUCAAAUUUGAAAGCUGGCCCCUUCGGGGUCCGCGUUGUAAUUUGCAGAGGAUGCUUCGGGAGCGGUCCCCAUCUAAGUGCCCUGGAACGGGCCGUCAUAGAGGGUGAGAAUCCCGUCUGGGAUGGGGUGCCCGCGCCCGUGUGAAGCUCCUUCGACGAGUCGAGUUGUUUGGGAAUGCAGCUCUAAAUGGGUGGUAAAUUUCAUCUAAAGCUAAAUACUGGCCGGAGACCGAUAGCGCACAAGUAGAGUGAUCGAAAGAUGAAAAGCACUUUGAAAAGAGAGUUAAACAGCACGUGAAAUUGUUGAAAGGGAAGCGCUUGCGACCAGACUCGCUCGCAGGGUUCAGCCGGCCUUCGGGCCGGUGUACUUCCCCGCGGGCGGGCCAGCGUCGGUUUGGGCGGCCGGUCAAAGGCCCUCGGAAUAUAACGCCCCCCGGGGCGUCUUAUAGCCGAGGGUGCCAUGCGGCCAGCCCGGACCGAGGAACGCGCUUCGGCUCGGACGCUGGCAUAAUGGUCGUAAGCGAUUCCCCCUUUCCG
This 606-nucleotide ribosomal RNA is filed under the name Penicillium janthinellum. RNAcentral describes it as "eukaryotic LSU rRNA". It matches the Rfam family "Eukaryotic large subunit ribosomal RNA", at positions 39 to 661 of the family's 3401-position model. Lineage: Eukaryota; Fungi; Ascomycota; Eurotiomycetes; Eurotiales; Aspergillaceae. The record is from RNAcentral.